AUUGAACGCUGGCGGCGUGGAUUAGGCAUGCAAGUCGCGCGACGACCUUCGGGUACGGAGCGGCGAACGGGUGAGUAACACGUGAGAAACCUACCGCAUCAUUCCGGAUAAUUGGUCGAAAGGCCUUGUAAUACGGGGGAGGUUCGUUGAUGGGCAUCCAUUAACGAACGAACGAGCAAUCGGUGCUGUGAUGGUCUCGC
Molecule: ribosomal RNA, 200 nt
Filed under: uncultured bacterium
Lineage: Bacteria
Description: partial 16S ribosomal RNA
Rfam family: Bacterial small subunit ribosomal RNA
Source: RNAcentral